GCUCAGUGACACGUGGCCAAGCUACCCUGUGGACGGGAAUACUCUCGGGAAACUGAGACUAAUCCCCGAUAACGCUUUGCUCCUGGAAGGGGCAAAGCCGGAAACGCUCCGGCGCCACAGGAUGCGGCUGCGGUCGAUUAGGUAGACGGUGGGGUAACGGCCCACCGUGCCCAUAAUCGGUACGGGUUGUGAGAGCAAGAGCCCGGAGACGGAAUCUGAGACAAGAUUCCGGGCCUUACGGGGCGCAGCAGGCGCGAAACCUUUACACUGUACGAAAGUGCGAUAAGGGGACUCCGAGUGGAAGGCAUAGAGCCUUCACUUUUGUACACCGUAAGGCGGGCACGAAUAAGNACNGSGCAWSMCCGGUGCCAGCCGCCGCGGUAAUACCGGCCGUCCGAGUGAUGGGCGAUCUUAUUGGGCCUAAAGCGUCCGUAGCUGGCUGAACAAGUCCGUUGGAAAAUCUGUCCUCUUAACGGGNCCGGGUCCAGAGGAAACUGGUCAACUUGGCAUCGGAAGACCUUAUUUUUAC
Molecule: ribosomal RNA, 529 nt
Filed under: uncultured euryarchaeote
Lineage: Archaea; Methanobacteriati; Methanobacteriota
Description: bacterial SSU rRNA
Rfam family: Archaeal small subunit ribosomal RNA
Source: RNAcentral